AGAGUUUGAUCCUGGCUCAGAUUGAACGCUGGCGGCAUGCUUUACACAUGCAAGUCGAACGGCAGCAUGGGUGCUUGCACCUGAUGGCGAGUGGCGAACGGGUGAGUAAUAUAUCGGAACAUGUCCGGAAGUGGGGGAUAACGUAGCGAAAGUUACGCUAAUACCGCAUAUGCCCUGAGGGGGAAAGGAGGGGAUCGUAAGACCUUUCGCUUUCGGAGUGGCCGAUAUCAGAUUAGCUAGUUGGUGAGGUAAAGGCUCACCAAGGCGACGAUCUGUAGCGGGUCUGAGAGGAUGAUCCGCCACACUGGGACUGAGACACGGCCCAGACUCCUACGGGAGGCAGCAGUGGGGAAUUUUGGACAAUGGGGGCAACCCUGAUCCAGCCAUGCCGCGUGAGUGAAGAAGGCCUUCGGGUUGUAAAGCUCUUUCGGACAGAAAGAAAUCGUGCAGUCCAAUACACUGCAUGGAUGACGCUCCCUCCUCUUUCUU
This 489-nucleotide ribosomal RNA is filed under the name uncultured beta proteobacterium. RNAcentral describes it as "bacterial SSU rRNA". It matches the Rfam family "Bacterial small subunit ribosomal RNA", at positions 8 to 484 of the family's 1533-position model. Lineage: Bacteria; Pseudomonadati; Pseudomonadota; Betaproteobacteria. The record is from RNAcentral.